GGGGAAUUAGGCUAGUGGAAAACCGCCGCCUUUGCAAGGCGGAUUCAUCAGUUCGACUCUGAUAUUCUCCACCA
Molecule: transfer RNA, 74 nt
Filed under: bacterium
Lineage: Bacteria
Description: tRNA-Ala
Rfam family: tRNA
About the family: Transfer RNA (tRNA) molecules are approximately 80 nucleotides in length. Their secondary structure includes four short double-helical elements and three loops (D, anti-codon, and T loops).
Source: RNAcentral